This 1239-nucleotide ribosomal RNA is filed under the name Siratus beauii. RNAcentral's name for it is "16S ribosomal RNA". It matches the Rfam family "Bacterial large subunit ribosomal RNA", at positions 417 to 2608 of the family's 2925-position model. The record is from RNAcentral. Lineage: Eukaryota; Metazoa; Mollusca; Gastropoda; Neogastropoda; Muricidae.
UAUAUAUUUUUAAAGUAUAUAGUAAAGAUAUAAAUGCAAAAUAAAAACAUUUAUAUAAUUAGUAAAGGAGAUUAAAGUUUAUUCUAUACUUAUAUUAAGUACUGAAAAGGAAAAAGACAAUCGUAAUAAAGAAAAAAUCAAAUUUUGUACCUUUUGCAUCAUGGUUUAGCUAGAUUUAAAUUUUUUAUAAAAAAUUUCUCGAAACUUAGUGAGCUAUUUUUUAUUUUAGUGGUAUUAGCAAAGCAAAAGUGAUUGUGGCAAAAAUCUUUUUAAAAUUUAAGAUAGAAAUGAAAUUUUUUCCGUACUAAGUGAUAGCUAGUUCUUUCCUCAAAGUAUAUAAGUACUGUAGGUUGGUUGUAUACGGUGUUUACUUGACACUCUGUAUAAGAUUUCUAACUCAAUGAGAUUUUAGAGGAUAAGCUCUAAAAUAAAAAAUUAAAAUUACAUAAAUGUAUUUGUAAAUUUAAGCUUGAAAAUAGCUAUAAAUUGAGAUUUUGUUAUAAUUUCAUUAACAAUUUUAACAUAUAAUAGAUUUGUUUUGUGAGGAGGAAAGAAACCCUGAGAAUUAAAUAAACAGGGUGAUAUUAUGCUAAAAUGAGUAUUUUGAUCUCUUUAAACUUUUAAUAAACAGGAUAAUAAAAUUUUUAUCCUGNUUUUAAAGUUAAAUUACAAAAAGGAACUCGGCAAAGGCAUAUUCNGCCUGUUUAUCAAAAACAUGGCUCCUUGUAAUAUANAAUAGGGAGUCGGACCUGCCCGGUGAAUUUUUUUAACGGCCGCGGUACUCUGACCGUGCAAAGGUAGCAUAAUCAUUUGCCUUAUAACUGAAGGCUAGUAUGAAUGGUUUGACAAGAAUGUGACUGUCUCUUUGUAAUUAAUUAGAAUUUUAUUUUCAGGUGAAGAAGCCUGUAUGUAAUUGAAAGACAAGAAGACCCUAUCGAGCUUGAAAGAAGUUGAUAAGCGUAAUUUUUAAUAAAGCAUUAAUAUUAUUAUCAAAAAUUUUAGUUGGGGCGACUAAGGAACAGAAAAAGCUUCCUUUACAACUUAAAUUAAAACGAGCAGGUACUGAUCCAGAAAUUUUGAUUAAAGAAAUUAGUUACCGUAGGGAUAACAGCAUUAUCUCCUUUGAGAGUUCACAUCGAAAAGGGGGUUUGUGACCUCGAUGUUGGACCAGAAUAUCCUAAAGAUGCAGCCGUCUUUAAGGGUUGGUCUGUUCGACCAUUAAAAUUCUACGUGAUCUGA